UGAUGAUGUUUGGUUAUUGAUAAAGUAAUGAUUAGAAAUCUAGUCAGUACAGUAGAACCUCGAUUAUCCGUCCCCCGAUUAACCGUCAGGCCACUUGUAUAUGAGUAGGUUAUAAAUAAUAAUACAUAUAUAUAAUCCGAAACUUUCCGGCAAUAUCUACUAGACAAGCGAUAGGUAUAUAUGUAUAUACAUACAUAUAUAUUUAAUGGGUGGG
Molecule: non-coding RNA, 214 nt
Organism: Cinara cedri
Lineage: Eukaryota; Metazoa; Arthropoda; Insecta; Hemiptera; Aphididae
Source: the annotation of a GenBank genome assembly